AAUUCGAAGCAACGCGAAGAACCUUACCAGGCCUUGACAUGCAGAGAACUUUCCAGAGAUGGAUUGGUGCCUUCGGGAACUCUGACACAGGUGCUGCAUGGCUGUCGUCAGCUCAUGUCGUGAGAUGUUGGGUUAAGUCCGUAACGAGCGCAACCCUUGUCCUUAGUUACCAGCACGUUAUGGUGGGCACUCUAAGGAGACUGCCGGUGACAAACCGGAGGAAGGUGGGGAUGACGUCAAGUCAUCAUGGCCCUUACGGCCUGGGCUACACACGUGCUACAAUGGUCGGUACAAGGGGUUGCCAAGCCGCGAGGUGGAGCUAAUCCCAUAAAACCGAUCGUAGUCCGGAUCGCAGUCUGCAACUCGACUGCGUGAAGUCGGAAUCGCUAGUAAUCGUGAAUCAGAAUGUCACGGUGAAUACGUUCCCGGGCCUU
RNAcentral lists this ribosomal RNA (434 nucleotides) under uncultured Pseudomonas sp. RNAcentral describes it as "bacterial SSU rRNA". It matches the Rfam family "Bacterial small subunit ribosomal RNA", at positions 948 to 1382 of the family's 1533-position model. Lineage: Bacteria; Pseudomonadati; Pseudomonadota; Gammaproteobacteria; Pseudomonadales; Pseudomonadaceae. The record is from RNAcentral.